UACGUAGGUGGCAAGCGUUGUCCGGAUUUACUGGGCGUAAAGCGCCCGCAGGCGGCUUGGCAAGUUUGGGGGGAAAUCUCCCGGCUCAACUGGGAGGGUGCCUCGAAAACUGCCAGGCUUGAGGCGUGGAGAGGGAUGCGGAAUUCCCGGUGUAGUGGUGAAAUGCGUAGAUAUCGGGAGGAACACCAGUGGCGAAGGCGGCAUCCUGGCCAUGUCCUGACGCUCAGGGGCGAAAGCGUGGGGAGCAAACCGG
This 253-nucleotide ribosomal RNA is filed under the name uncultured bacterium. RNAcentral describes it as "partial 16S ribosomal RNA". It matches the Rfam family "Bacterial small subunit ribosomal RNA", at positions 524 to 776 of the family's 1533-position model. The record is from RNAcentral.